CAGGCCUAACACAUGCAAGUCGAACGGUAAGGCCCUUCGGGGUACACGAGUGGCGAACGGGUGAGUAACACGCGGGUGAUCUGCCCUGCACUUCGGGAUAAGCCCGGGAAACUGGGUCUAAUACCGGAUAGGACUGCGCGGUGCAUGCCGUGUGGUGGAAAGAUUUAUCGGUGCAGGAUGGGCCCGCGGCCUAUCAGCUUGUUGGUGGGGUAAUGGCCUACCAAGGCGACGACGGGUAGCCGGCCUGAGAGGGCGACCGGCCACACUGGGACUGAGACACGGCCCAGACUCCUACGGGAGGCAGCAGUGGGGAAUAUUGCACAAUGGGCGCAAGCCUGAUGCAGCGACGCCGCGUGAGGGAUGACGGCCUUCGGGUUGUAAACCUCUUUCAGCAGGGACGAAGCGUGAGUGACGGUACCUGCAGAAGAAGCACCGGCCAACUACGUGCCAGCAGCCGCGGUAA
RNAcentral lists this ribosomal RNA (463 nucleotides) under uncultured bacterium. RNAcentral's name for it is "bacterial SSU rRNA". It matches the Rfam family "Bacterial small subunit ribosomal RNA", at positions 43 to 523 of the family's 1533-position model. The record is from RNAcentral.